GUUGUAUGGUUAAGUGACUAAGCGUACACGGUGGAUGCCUUGGCAGUCAGAGGCGAUGAAAGACGUAGUAACUUGCGAUAAGCCCAGAUUAGGUAGUAACAACCAUUUGAGUCUGGGAUUUCUGAAUGGGGAAACCCACUAGCAUAAGCUAGUAUCGUUAUGUGAAUACAUAGCAUAACGAGGCGAACCGGGGGAACUGAAACAUCUAAGUACCCCGAGGAAAAGAAAUCAACCGAGAUUCCGAAAGUAGCGGCGAGCGAAAUUGGACUAGCCCUUAAGCUUUACACGCGUUAGACGAACGGUCUG
Molecule: ribosomal RNA, 306 nt
Filed under: Vibrio parahaemolyticus
Lineage: Bacteria; Pseudomonadati; Pseudomonadota; Gammaproteobacteria; Vibrionales; Vibrionaceae
Description: partial 23S ribosomal RNA
Rfam family: Bacterial large subunit ribosomal RNA
Source: RNAcentral